Molecule: ribosomal RNA, 568 nt
Filed under: uncultured bacterium
Lineage: Bacteria
Description: partial 16S ribosomal RNA
Rfam family: Bacterial small subunit ribosomal RNA
Source: RNAcentral
UGGGGAAUAUUGCACAAUGGGCGAAAGCCUGAUGCAGCAACGCCGCGUGAGGGACGACGGCCUUCGGGUUGUAAACCUCUUUUAGCAAGGAAGAAGCGAAAGUGACGGUACUUGCAGAAAAAGCGCCGGCUAACUACGUGCCAGCAGCCGCGGUAAUACGUAGGGCGCAAGCGUUAUCCGGAAUUAUUGGGCGUAAAGAGCUCGUAGGCGGUUUGUCGCGUCUGCUGUGAAAACCCGAGGCUCAACCUCGGGCCUGCAGUGGGUACGGGCAGACUAGAGUGCGGUAGGGGAGAUUGGAACUCCUGGUGUAGCGGUGGAAUGCGCAGAUAUCAGGAAGAACACCGAUGGCGAAGGCAGAUCUCUGGGCCGUAACUGACGCUGAGGAGCGAAAGGGUGGGGAGCAAAACAGGCUUAGAUACCCUGGUAGUCCACCCCGUAAACGUUGGGAACUAGUUGUGGGGUCCAUUCCACGGAUUCCGUGACGCAGCUAACGCAUUAAGUUCCCCGCCUGGGGAGUACGGCCGCAAGGCUAAAACUCAAAGGAAUUGACGGGGUCAUAGCUGUUUCC